AUUACUCCUAAAUAAAACAGAGAAGAAGAGACGUGUCAUCUUCAGGCAAGUUUGUAGAAAGAUGGCUUUGGUACAGCUUGCAUGAUAAAAUGUAGAAGCAACCAGAGCGGGUUGGACUGAAUGUAGAGAAACCUUAAGUGUAAAUACUGGUGUGAACAUGCUCUUUUCCUACAAAAGAAGUCCUGGAAGUGUCAGGCAGAUGUGCUCAUAGGUGGGACUGAAGUGUCGACUUCUUUUUCUGAGCCACGGACAACCUUAAAAUACCUAUUAGCACUUGCAGAGGAGGUAAGCUGGUAAUUCAGAGCUGAGCACCUGCUUUUUUUGCUGUAGUAGUACAUAUCUGUCUGACACUAGUGAGAUGUUCAUGUCUUGAGACCAGCCCAGACUUUUGACACUUAGGGAAGAGAGGUUUUUAAUAUGGCUGAAACAAGGAAAGAGAAAUUAUACCCAUAAUAAAGAGGAAUGAAUUGAUAUAAAAAGAAGAACCUCUUGAUCUUAUUCACAACAGCUCCCUACCAGGGAUUCUCUAUAAACAUCCCUGGGGAUGCUUCUAGCUCACACUGGUGAGAGAAUCAUGCUGAAUGACAUUUUAAGGUAAGAAGAUAGACAUUUCCUUGUUUGUUUAUUUAUUUCACAUAUGAAUGUAUUUUAAAUUGCUGGCUAAAGGAAUGGGGAUAGUAAAACAUGCACAUGUGGAAAUGAUGUACUGAGAAAGUUCUGUGGUUUCAUAUGGAGAAAAAAGAUAGCAGCCAAUUCUAGCUCAGUAGGCAAGUAAUUAAGCCAGCAAUCUCUCUGUACAUUGUAUUCUAAGUUCAGUACAAAAGUAUGUAACAUAUGAUUUUUCUUUUAUUAUCUGCAGUUUGAUUUCAGGAAUGACCAUCACCACAGUCAUCAUUCAAAGGUGAAGAUAUUAGUUUAAACUUCAGCAAAAAUUGGUGCGUGCCUUGUUGCAAAAAGAGUACCAAUGGAGCCAGGCAUGGAAUCUUCCCUGAAGGCCACCAGUGUCUUCUGGCAGAGGCACCUUCUAAAAGGAUGCAGUGCAUAGUUGCCAGCUGCACAUACUUCUAUUUGUUAGACCAUCUUCAAACACUUAUGUUGAAUAUUUCAGAAUCAGAACUGGGAAUGGAUUUCCAUUCUUGGUUUUUGAAAAUCCCAGAGUCCUAGCAAGCUGUAAGUGAUCUGCUGCUUUGAAAAUGUGCUCAGUGCUAUCUUUAACCUAACUUAUUGUAAUGGCUUACCAGUAGGUUCAGGCUGGAAAAAACGUUGCCAAUAGUGAAAAUGAAAAAAUCUGCAGAUGCAGUAUUGGUGUAACUUGGGUAAUGCCUAGAGAGCCUGGCAGGUCUGAAAACCAGGUUACAAUACUUUUUUAAUCCUCUUUCUCCUUUUGCCAAAAAAACAGCAGUGUAACUCUAGUUCUACUCCUCCGCAUGCUGUAUUGAAUUUUAUCUGUUUUUAUUAAUGUGGUCAGUUUUUGUGCAAGUCUUUCCAUAAAUGAAAUUAAGUACAGAAAAUAAAGGAGAUAGAAAGAUCA
RNAcentral lists this long non-coding RNA (1531 nucleotides) under Phasianus colchicus (ring-necked pheasant). RNAcentral describes it as "lncRNA (ENSPCLG00000016406.1)". Lineage: Eukaryota; Metazoa; Chordata; Aves; Galliformes; Phasianidae. The record is from RNAcentral.